RNAcentral lists this long non-coding RNA (768 nucleotides) under Olea europaea subsp. europaea. Lineage: Eukaryota; Viridiplantae; Streptophyta; Magnoliopsida; Lamiales; Oleaceae. The record is from RNAcentral.
GUUCAUACUAGUGUAAGUGUGUCCAGCUAAGCCUAAAAAAUACUUAAUAAAUAAAUAAUUUUCUUGUUGGUACAAUUUUAAUUUUUUUUUGCCGGAAAAUCCACUUGAACUUGGGCGAGUUUUAGGUUGACUCAACUAAGCCAAGUGGUUGCCCUCCUGCCCAGAUAUUGAUAGAAAGGAUUAUUACAUAGAGGGGGACGUGGACCUUACCUCCUAGUUGAACAAAUGAGGAGUUUAGAUCAGCUAAAUUACUAAAUUCAACAACGAAUUAAGUGAGCAGACUAACAAACCCUUUGUGUCCUUGGCGAUUAUUUACACUCUUAAAGUUGGAAGCCCCUUAUAUCUGGGCGCAAAAUUCUUUUGAUUUCACCAGUUAGCUCUUGAGGGUAUAGUAGCUUGAACUGCCUUUCUUUAUACUCAGUAUGAGCCACCAAUCAGUGACCCCAUUACUUUCUCUCCAAAAGGCAACAGCAUCGCUUUGAAACUAUCAUUCUUCCGCUAAUAUUGAAUUUCCUCCAACUGGUAUUGUACUCUGCACGGCCAUGUAGAUUGUUUGCAAAUUAAUUUAAUAGAGGCCUUGGAAAGAACCUCCAUACUUCCUUAGCAACAAUGCCAUAUAAUAGCACAUGUUCAACUAAUUCAUAUUUUGCCACCGGAACUUACAAGUUCUGCUAAUUUUCAUUAUAAUUUGCACCUCUUCUGUCUAAUGUCAAUAAGUCGUGCCAUGUUUUCCAUGUGAAAAAUGAGACCUUUAAAGUGAUAAAUUUC